GACGAACGCUGGCGGCGUGCUUAACACAUGCAAGUCGAACGGAAAGGCCCUGCUUUUGUGGGGUGCUCGAGUGGCGAACGGGUGAGUAACACGUGAGUAACCUGCCCUUGACUUUGGGAUAACUUCAGGAAACUGGGGCUCAUACCGGAUAGGAGCUCCUGCUGCAUGGUGGGGGUUGGAAAGUUUCGGCGGUUGGGGAUGGACUCGCGGCUUAUCGGCUUGUUGGGGGGGUAGUGGCUUACCAAGGCUUUGACGGGUAGCCGGCCUGAGAGGGUGACCGGCCACAUUGGGACUGAGGUACGGCCCAGACGCCUACGGGAGGCAGCAGUGGGGAAUAUUGCACAAUGGGAGGAAGCCUGAUGCAGCAACGCCGCGUGCGUGAUGACGGCCUUCGGGUUGUAAACCGCUUUCGCCUGUGACGAAGCGUGAGUGACGGUAAUGGGUAAAGAAGCACCGGCUAACUACGUG
RNAcentral lists this ribosomal RNA (468 nucleotides) under uncultured bacterium. Its description in RNAcentral is "partial 16S ribosomal RNA". It matches the Rfam family "Bacterial small subunit ribosomal RNA", at positions 28 to 507 of the family's 1533-position model. The record is from RNAcentral.